UGCUUCUGAAACAGCAACAGCCAUGUAAAAUAUGUGCCUCUAUUAUUAUGUUUAUUUUUUCGUACAAUAAGAUAAUAUGGGCAUAAAUCAUAGGCAAAAAUAUGUAAUUUUGAUUUUGAUCCACCAUUGAAAAUCUAGCCCCUGAUACUGGAAUCUUGGUCUGUUUUGCUUUGUUGGGGUUCACCAGUACUAUUGCGAAGAUGGAUAGGAUAAAGUUCCAAACUAGCUUUCAAUAUGCAAUUCAUUUUUAUUAUAGUUUAAUUGGUAUAUUUGUGUUAUAUUUAGAAAAAAAUCUUAUUCCUUUCAUGUUAACACCUUUUUGGUAAAAUUUUUCAUAGAGUAAAAAUCUUGGCUUGUUUAAGGUGUUCAAAUUGCAGUCCUUUGUACUCCAUAUUGUUCCAACUCAAGUCUAAUCUACUUAGGUCCUUUAUGAAAUUUGGUAAAUUAAGCGAGAAGAAUAUUUGAGGGUGAGCUUUGGUGCAGCAGUAAGGUGCCUUGUGUCUGGAAGGUUAUGGAUUUGAGUUGUGGAAACAACUUUGUCAAAAAGUGAAGGAAAGAUUACAGUUUGUCCCCAAUCCUGUCUUGUGCACUGAAGGUGUCCUUUACAUGAGAAGCAUAUUUGCUCUAGAAAUCAGGAGUUCAUUUUAAUUCUAUUUGAUCCAGUUCUCAUGUUUGGAAUCCCUUUAUUAGUAAACCUAAUUAAUGUGUUUUGAAAAUGAUGUUUUUGAUAGAAUUACUGUCUGACCAAAACCAAAAGACACUGGAUUUUGCAAGAAUUUAUUAUGUUUGUAUAAUUUGGUGGCACUGGCAUCUAGGGGUGUGUGGUUCCAGUUCCUGGUUUGCCUAGGAGCCAGAACCUAACCGAAAUUUCAAUACGGUUCUGGUUCUGGUUCAAUUCUUCAUUAUUUCGGUUCCGGUUUUGGUUCGAUUCUCAGUUCUUUGGUUUUUUUUCGGUUCUCAAUUUUUGAAAUAAUUUUAUACAAUUGUUUUUAUAAAAAGUCAUACUUGAAUUAGUAUUUAAGCUUUGAAAUAGGUUAUUAAUACACAAUAUGUCAUGUAAUAUAUCUUUUA
RNAcentral lists this unclassified non-coding RNA (1071 nucleotides) under Hevea brasiliensis (rubber tree). Lineage: Eukaryota; Viridiplantae; Streptophyta; Magnoliopsida; Malpighiales; Euphorbiaceae. The record is from RNAcentral.